This 343-nucleotide unclassified non-coding RNA is filed under the name soil metagenome. RNAcentral describes it as "partial contains 5.8S ribosomal RNA, internal transcribed spacer 2, and large subunit ribosomal RNA". The stretch from base 1 to 120 matches the Rfam family "5.8S ribosomal RNA", at positions 35 to 154 of the family's 154-position model. The record is from RNAcentral.
GAUGAAGAACGUAGCGAAAUGCGAUAAGUAAUGUGAAUUGCAGAAUUCAGUGAAUCAUCGAAUCUUUGAACGCACAUUGCGCCCGCUAGUAUUCUGGCGGGCAUGCCUGUCCGAGCGUCAUUUCAACCCUCAAGCUCCCGGGCUUGGUGUUGGGGAUCGGCGAGCCUCCGCGCCCGCCGUCCCCUAAAUCUAGUGGCGGUCUCGCUGUAGCUUCCUCUGCGUAGUAGCACACCUCGCACUGGGAAACAGCGCGGCCACGCCGUUAAACCCCCAACUUCUGAACGUUUGACCUCGGAUCAGGUAGGAAUACCCGCUGAACUUAAGCAUAUCAAUAAGCGGAGGA